UUAAAAUUUAAUUGUAAAUAUCAAAGUAGUAUUAGUUAAGUUCUUGAAAUUUAAAAAAUUUGGCGGUAUUUUAGUCUAUUCAGAGGAACCUGUUUUGUAAUCGAUAGUCCACGUUGUAACUUACUUAAAUUUGUUUAAAUAAUUUAUAUAUCGUUGUUAUAAAAUAUUUUAUAAAAAUAAUAAUUUUUAAGAUCUUGAAUUUUAGAAUAUCUCAGAUCAAGAUGUAGUUUAUAUUUAAGUUUAUAAUGGGUUACAUUUAUAAUAUUAUUGGAAAUAAAUUUGUGAAUUAUUUAUUGAAAUUGGAUUUGAUAGUAAAUUUAUAUAGAUAGAUAAUUUGAUUAUAGCUCUAAAAUAUG
Molecule: ribosomal RNA, 356 nt
Filed under: Eudorylas sp. Jeff Skevington 17054
Lineage: Eukaryota; Metazoa; Arthropoda; Insecta; Diptera; Pipunculidae
Description: partial 12S ribosomal RNA
Source: RNAcentral